GGAGGGUUUGAUCCUGGCUCAGGGUGAACGCUGGCGGCGUGCUUUACACAUGCAAGUUGAACGAGAACUCGGAGGUUCUUACUUCGGUAAGAAAGGAAGAGGGACAGUAGCGAACGAGUGAGUAACACGUAGUAACCUGCCCACUGGAGGGGGAGAACCACUGGAAACGGUGGCUAAUACCGCAUAAGCCCGAAAGGGGAAAGCAAUUUAUUGUGCCGGUGGAGGGGACUGCGGGCCAUCAGGAAGAUGGUGAGGUAAAAGCUCACCAAACCGACGACGGCUAUCUGACGUGAGAGCGUGAUCAGACACGAGGACACUGAGAAACGGGUCCUACUCCUACGGGAGGCAGCAGUGGGGAAUAUUGGACAAUGGGGGAAACCCUGAUCCAGCGACGCCGCGUGAACGAAGAAGUCCUUCGGGAUGUAAAGUUCUUUUAAAUGGGAAGAAGGAAAUGACGGUACCAUAGGAAUAAGCCCCGGCUAACUACGUGCCAGCAGCCGCGGUAAGACGUAGGGGGCAAGCGUUACCCGGAAUCACUGGGCGUAAAGGGAGCGUAGGCGGUUAUACAGGUCAUACGUUAAAGACUCCGGCUCAACCGGAGAAGUGCGUAUGAAACCGUAUAACUUGAGGAUAUCAGAGGAAAAGGGAAUUACCAUUGUAGGGGUGAAAUCCGUAGAGAGUGGUAAGAAUGCCGGUGGCGAAGGCGCUUUUCCGGGGUAUACCUGACGCUGAGGCUCGAAAGCCAGGGGAGCAAACCGGAUUAGAUACCCGGGUAGUCCUGGCCGUAAACGAUGUUCACUAGGUGUAGGAUGUCGACAGGCAACCUGUGCUGAAGCAAACGCGAUAAGUGAACCGCCUGGGGAGUACGUCCGCAAGGAUGAAACUCAAAGGAAUUGACGGGGGCCCGCACAAGCGGUGGAGCGUGUGGUUUAAUUCGAAGCUAAGCGAAGAACCUCACCAGGUCUUGACAUAUAAGUGGUAGGGAAGCGAAAGCUAACCGACCCUAGUUUACUAGGGAGCUUAUACAGGUGGUGCAUGGUCGUCGUCAGCUCGUGCCGUGAGGUGUUGGGUUAAGUCCCGCAACGAGCGCAACCCUUGUUUUUAGUUGCCAGCAUUUAGGUGGGCACUCUAAAGAGACUGCCGUCGAAGAGACGGAGGAAGGAGGGGACGACGUCAGAUCAUCAUGCCCCUUAUGAUCUGGGCUACACACGCGCUACAAUGGGUUAGGCAGAAGGCGAAACUGCAAAGUGGAGGCAAUCCGAAAACUAACCCCCAGUUCAGAUUGCAGGCUGAAACCCGCCUGCAUGAAGUCGGAAUCGCUAGUAAUCGCAGAUCAGAACGCUGCGGUGAAUACGUUCCCGGGCCUUGUACACACCGCCCGUCACACCACCCGAGUUGGGAAUACCUGAAGAGCAUGGCAAGCUGACCGGCAACGGGAGCAGUGCUUUAAGGUAGGCUUAGCGAGGGGGGUGAAGUCGUAACAAGGUAGCUGUAUCGGAAGGUGCGGCUGGAUCACCUCCU
RNAcentral lists this ribosomal RNA (1521 nucleotides) under Thermoplasmatota archaeon. Its description in RNAcentral is "bacterial SSU rRNA". It matches the Rfam family "Bacterial small subunit ribosomal RNA". The record is from RNAcentral. Lineage: Archaea; Methanobacteriati; Thermoplasmatota.